Molecule: long non-coding RNA, 3923 nt
Organism: Brassica napus (rape)
Lineage: Eukaryota; Viridiplantae; Streptophyta; Magnoliopsida; Brassicales; Brassicaceae
Exons: 2
Source: RefSeq, a predicted model, not a curated record
UAAAAUUUUACAAGUUAAUAGAUUUUUAAAAGUUAAGAAGAUUUGAUGAAUUGAUACCAAAUAUUUUGUAUAAAUUAUGAUUGAUUGUUAUUGAUUAUCAUAGAUUUCCAUAUAUAACUUUUCUACAAAACUCUCCUUCUAUAAUAAUAUAUACAUGUUUUCUAAAAAAUAAAACUUUUUCAUGGAAAAUAAUUAUGUGAUAUUAAAAUAUAUUUUUGGCUUUUUUAAUAAUGAUUGUUUUAACACUUUUUUUUUCUUGACUUGCUUGAUUUUUGGUUUAAGUUUUCUAUGACCUUUGUUUAUAUUCUUAUUUAUAUAAAAUUAUGAAUUUUCUCAUAAUGUUAUCUCUAAUGAUUUUGUUACAACUUUUUUAUCAUUCUCCUAACAAUAAAAAUGAUUUUGUUACAAUUUUUUAUCAUUUUCUUAACACACAUUCUCUUAACAAUACAAAAUUUGUGUGUUUGUAUGUGUUUUUUUUACAUAUAUUUUAAGAAUCUUAUAAGUAUACAUGUUAUUUCUAAAGUUGAAUCUUUUGUGUAAAACUAAAGAGAUUUGUGUCCCAGUAACAAACUUUUUUUAAUAAAAUUACAAAAUCAGUGAAAACUAAACUUUUUGAAUAACAAUGGAUUUUACGUGGAAUUUAAAAGUCCAUAAACCAAUAACAAUGGAUUCUAAGAAAAUUUGUAAAAUCUAUAAACCAAUUAAGAGGGAAUCUCUAAAAUUUUAAAAUCAUUAAUUCAGUCGCCAAUAACCGCCCCUUAAAUACAGUAUUUUUUUGUGAUAACCCAUAAGUCAAAUCAAAAACAUGUCUACGAUAAACGGCGCCCGAUAUUCUCUCCACACUAACAUGUCCACGGUAAUAUGUCAUUGGCAAUCUGUAGUACCGUCCUAAAAUUUGAUGUGGCCUAAAGCACAAUAAAAAUUAUAUGGUCUUUUACAUAAAUACAAAUGGAAAAUAAUAAUACAAACAACACAAAAAUGCUUAAAACCAUUGAAUAUGGCUGAAUCUGUAAUAAAAAUAUGGCCCUAAAAUUUGCUAUAUAUCUUGUGGCCUAAAGCAUGUGCUUUACUUGCCUUAUAACAACGACGGCCUUGGCAAUCUGUCCGCGAUACCUUACACAGAAUUUUUUCAAAAAAAGAUAACUUACACAGAAUACCACGUCCACACAUGUUUAAUCAGAACUCAUAUAAUGUUUUUUUUUCCCUCAAAACUUAAUCAUAUAAUGUCGUGUCGCUAAAAAGGGUGAGAUAUGCAACAAAAACAAAUUCAGGCUUAAGAAAGUAAACAUUCUACUCAUGGUAGAAAAGGAUUCAACCUAAAGAAGUACAUGUCCUUCAGUAGGAAUGGAGUGUUGUGGUACGUUUUCCUAUAGACCCUCGACAAUACCUAUUUAGAUAUUUUCUUCAACAUUCCUAAUUAAUUUCUAAAGAGAAUUACCUAGACACCUAUAUUAUCCGUCACCUCACCCGAGCAAAGAUUCCAUUUGAGCGGAUUGAAUGUCAGUGUACACAAAGAAAAUAAGCUCUUGCUUUUUUUCCCAUACUCAUCGAGGAUAACAGAUCCAGAGGUGAAGUGUUUUCUUUGGCCGAUCUAAUUUUGUGUGUGAGCUUUGAUGUUGACAUACGAUUUUGACGAGUGCGGCUUUUCGAUUCACGAAAGAUAUCAUUCUUCGCAUCAUAAAGUGAUCUCACCUUAGAUCUACAAUUUGAAGAAUCACAGUAGUAAAAAAUGGAAAAUGACUAAAUUUGUACAAAGAAUGUCAUAAAUUUUCUAGCUAUCGAACAAACCGUGAGAGAGAAAAAAGAAAGAGAAGAUAUCUUACAAUACUAAAAGGGAGAUAUCUAGAGUUCUUAAGGUGUCCACGUAAGCAUGAAAAUUCAAGCCAAUCAUAAGUCAAGAAUGUGCUAUGUCAUCUAUGCUAAAUUCACUUACUGGACGACCAUCUAACCUAACGUAACUGCGACUUCAUUACUCUAUCUUCAUCCUAUUAAUCCUUUCAUCAAUGCUCAACCAUACUCCAAGGAAGUCAAAUCGAUCCAAGUUCCAUCCAUCUUAAUAACAUCCUCCAACCCAACUAAACCCAUAAAACUCUCACUCUCUCUUCAUCCACUCUUCCUCCAACAUAAUUGUGGUUUGUGUUUCUCUGAUUCCUUAGAUCUUCCACCUAAGCUCCUCUCAUACGUUUGUCAUCUUCGGCUGAAACGUACGUUAAGAUUCGAUCUUCUCAGGUAAUCUUCUCUCCUGAUGUUCAUGAUCACUUCGAGUGCAUAAUAUUUGUCUAACAACGAUGAUAUAUUUUUCAACUUCCAAAUUUUGCAUUUAAUCUAAUAACCUAUUAAUCGAAGGGAAGCCUUUGUUACCAAAGGGCAAGAAACAAUAGUAAGAACCAUAGGAGAAGUCGUGUGGAUUGGGUCGAUUUCUUCAUAAGAAGUUUCUAUAGGUCCGUGAAAACCAAUUUGCUGCAGCAUGUUAAUGUCUUUAAGGAUGUGAGACGUCCCAAUGAAGACACUAAAGUUUUCUUUUUUCUUUUAUUUUUUUUCUUCUUUUGUAUCUUUAAGUUAAUCAAUAUCUUCUUUUUUUUAUAUACAGACAGUUUGCUUCCAGUCCUUGCUAAGAACUAUUCUAAGGUUGUUGUUAUAUACAUUUUUCAAAAGUUCUUACAUACAUAAAAUAAAUAAAGAGGCCACAAUGCUUUACCGGAAAGACGAUGGACAGGUAACUCAAAUUCUCUUAUUAUUAUUUUUGAUAUCUUAAGCAUCUGGCCCUUUAAUUUGUGGCUUAUAUGAGUUGGCUUUCAACUUAUAUGUACAAGUUAAUAGUGAUGAACUUUUGAUGAUGUUUCGCGAGCUGUACUUUGUCUUUGAGUACAUGCAAUACUUUUUCCUGCUUACAGUUUUGAUAUUUCCUGACACUAAUUCUUAUAACUGAAUCUGCGCAUGUCAUUCUUAUUUGAUCAGGACUUUGGCUAAAUAUUUUAACUGAAGCUGAUAUCAGAAAUUGGUACUUUCAAGUCUUACAAGGCAAUUCUUACAUGCAUCAACGUGGUUACCUCCAACGCAAUCUUAAGCCAGGUGAUUAAUAGCCUUGAGGCGUCAAAUGAUACAAAGCUUCAAACACCUGCUAUGAUGAUUGAUGACAACUUAGAUUUUAAUCUAUUUGUCUCUGACAGUCAAGGGAGGUUAAUUCGAGUCCACAUUAAUAGAGUAUGUUAUUGGCAGGGGAGGUUAAUUCGAGGCCGCAUUUAUAGAGUAUGUUGUUAUAGAUAGUACAAAUUUGAUUCCCUUUUUGUGCUGCAACCAGUCUUUCAGAUUACCAAUAUUACUGUAUAUGUCCUUCAGUGACCCAUAUGUCGAUUGGUUACCAUACCAUUGAUGCCUAACUGACCCCAAAAGCUUUGUUCUAAUAGGUAGAGGGCACCAGAAGUACUUCUACAGUCCUAUGUAUACACAGAAAAAAUUGGUUCGUAUGAUCUUAUCAAUAUCGUAGUAAACCAUUGGGUGCAUUCAUUCUCGGAUACCAAUCUUUACCUUUUUCAUGAUAGUCUAGCGGCUCUGCUCUUGGAUCCAUGGAACAGAGCGACUACUGCAGAGGCUUCGUCCAGGAUACCAGUGGGAUUUGGUGUUGUAGUCGGAUUUUCGUAUGAGCUGAAGCAGAGUGAUAUGUGGCCACAAGAUAUUCUUAUAUAUCUGGAAAACUAACUUGGUCGCGCCGAGGAAAAUUGAGAUCAAGAGAGAAAAUGAAAAGACAUGUGAAUGUAAAUCGAAGCAUCAUCUUUGAUUUUUCAGAAUAGAAAGCUAUCUCUCACGAAUCCCUCCAAGAGUCUCAUUUCUCCACUGAAACAACAUUCUGGUUGUUCGUUUUUCUUGUGUUGUUUGUUCUUCUGGAUGAAGAAUGGAGCUUAAUCAAAGUGUUGUGAUGCGUA